CCAAUAGCGUAUAUUAAAGUUGUUGCAGUUAAAAAGCUCGUAGUUGAAUUUCGGGAUCAGUGGGUCGGUCGUGCCACUGGUAUGCACUGGCUCUACUGGUUCCUCCUUCUUGAAGAACUGUAAUGCCAUUAAUUUGGUGUUGCAGGGAAACAGGACUGUUACUUUGAAAAAAUUAGAGUGUUUAAAGCAGGCAAAUCGCUUGAAUACAUUAGCAUGGAAUAAUGAAAUAGGACGUUCGAUCCUAUUUUGUUGGUUUCUAGGAUUGACGUAAUGAUUAAUAGGGAUAGUUGGGGGCAUUAGUAUUCAAUUGUCAGAGGUGAAAUUCUUGGAUUUAUUGAAGACUAACUACUGCGAAAGCAUUUGCCAAGGAUGUUUUCAUUAAUCAAGAACGAAAGUUAGGGGAUCGAAGACGAUCAGAUACCGUCGUAGUCUUAACCAUAAACUAUGCCGACUAGGGAUCGGAUGAUGUUAAUUUUUUAAUGACUCAUUCGGCGCCUUACG
Molecule: ribosomal RNA, 501 nt
Filed under: uncultured Glomeromycotina
Lineage: Eukaryota; Fungi; Glomeromycota
Description: partial small subunit ribosomal RNA
Rfam family: Eukaryotic small subunit ribosomal RNA
Source: RNAcentral